This 468-nucleotide ribosomal RNA is filed under the name uncultured bacterium. Its description in RNAcentral is "partial 16S ribosomal RNA". It matches the Rfam family "Bacterial small subunit ribosomal RNA", at positions 28 to 507 of the family's 1533-position model. The record is from RNAcentral.
GACGAACGCUGGCGGCGUGCUUAACACAUGCAAGUCGAACGGAAAGGCCCUGCUUUUGUGGGGUGCUCGAGUGGCGAACGGGUGAGUAACACGUGAGUAACCUGCCCUUGACUUUGGGAUAACUUCAGGAAACUGGGGCUAAUACCGGAUAGGAGCUCCUGCUGCAUGGUGGGGGUUGGAAAGUUUCGGCGGUUGGGGAUGGACUCGCGGCUUAUCAGCUUGUUGGUGGGGUAGUGGCUUACCAAGGCUUUGACGGGUAGCCGGCCUGAGAGGGUGACCGGCCACAUUGGGACUGAGAUACGGCCCAGACUCCUACGGGAGGCAGCAGUGGGGAAUAUUGCACAAUGGGCGGAAGCCUGUUGCAGCAACGCCGCGUGCGGGAUGACGGCCUUCUGGUUGUAAACCGCUUUCGCCUGUGACGAAGCGUGAGUGACGGUAAUGGGUAAAGAAGCACCGGCUAACUACGUG